Nematostella vectensis (starlet sea anemone) is the source of this 761-nucleotide long non-coding RNA. RefSeq lists it as uncharacterized. The record is from RefSeq and is a predicted model, not a curated record. Lineage: Eukaryota; Metazoa; Cnidaria; Anthozoa; Actiniaria; Edwardsiidae. The transcript has 2 exons.
AUUUCCUUUCGGCAAUUUAGCGAAGCCACAACAUAAUCAUCGAGCAAUACCGGUUUCGUCUUCCUCCUGAUAGGUCAACUUGAGUGCUUGGAUCUUGAAAAAUACUCUUGGGCGAUGAAAGCAACGAGAAGCAUCAAUGAGAAACCGUCAACCGCCGGGUUGAAGGUCAUUCAUUCAAAGGAUGGGCGUGUCAUCGGCUGCAGUCGACCCAAACAAACUAGUCUAUAAAAAUAGCUGGUUUACUCAAACCGUAUGGAAACAAUCCAACUGAGUAAAUGAUGAAUUACUCCGUGAAUUAAUUGUUUAUAGAUUCAAGACUUGAAAUAGACUAUGAGAAAGGCAAGAAAAAUCGAUAUAAUUUGUGUUGAAAGGACUUUGAACGAACAGAAAACUAAGCAAUAACGUACUGAAAGCUUUCUUCAAGUUUGUUUGCUAUUGGGAUCAGGUUUUGCGACGGGGUGAAUAUUUGCGGCGCGCGUUCUACUCCAUCCAAACGACAAUGUCCAUGAGAUUUCAUGGUAGAUAUGCACGAAGGUUGGAAUUUCCUGCUCUGAUAAAAACUCAGAUGCAUUUAAAGAAGGCAGAAAACAGUACAUCAGCAAAUACCGAAAUAUGGCUAUGAUAUUUAUAGCAACUGCCGAUAAAAAGCGUAAGGCAUUUGUGAAUGCUUUCCGUACUUUAGUCCAUGCCUAACAUUUGUAACUUAACGGGUUUCGCUUAAAUAAAAUUGUUAAACGCUCAAUUAAAGGCGAUGAUAUUGA